This 24-nucleotide unclassified non-coding RNA is filed under the name Mus musculus (house mouse). RNAcentral describes it as "oocyte_clustered_small_RNA13886". The record is from RNAcentral. Lineage: Eukaryota; Metazoa; Chordata; Mammalia; Rodentia; Muridae.
UGCCACUUCCCUGAGGACUAGCCC